GACAGAGGGUGCAAACGUUGUUCGGAAUUACUGGGCGUAAAGAGUGCGUAGGCGGUUUUCUAAGUUUGGUGUGAAAUCUCCCAGCUCAACUGGGAGGGUGCGCCGAAGACUGGAAGGCUUGAGUAUGGGAGAGGUAAGCGGAAUUCCUGGUGUAGCGGUGAAAUGCUUAGAUAUUACAUGGAAUACCAAUUGCGAAGGCAGGUUACUACUAAUGGAUCUACGCUGAUGGACGAAAGCGUGGGGAGCGAACAGG
Molecule: ribosomal RNA, 253 nt
Filed under: uncultured bacterium
Lineage: Bacteria
Description: partial 16S ribosomal RNA
Rfam family: Bacterial small subunit ribosomal RNA
Source: RNAcentral